This 367-nucleotide ribosomal RNA is filed under the name Cyanobacteria bacterium CAN_BIN43. Its description in RNAcentral is "bacterial SSU rRNA". It matches the Rfam family "Bacterial small subunit ribosomal RNA", at positions 1 to 397 of the family's 1533-position model. Lineage: Bacteria; Bacillati; Cyanobacteriota. The record is from RNAcentral.
AACAUGGAGAGUUUGAUCCUGGCUCAGGAUGAACGCUGGCGGUAUGCUUAACACAUGCAAGUCGAACGGUCCUUUCGGGGAUAGUGGCGGACGGGUGAGUAACGCGUGAGAAUCUGCCUUCAGGACGGGGACAACAGUUGGAAACGGCUGCUAAAACCCGAUGUGCCUACGGGUGAAAUAUUUAUAGCCUGAAGAGGAGCUCGCGUCUGAUUAGCUAGUAGGUGAGGUAACGGCUCACCUAGGCGACGAUCAGUAACUGGUCUGAGAGGAUGACCAGUCACACUGGGACUGAGACACGGCCCAGACUCCUACGGGAGGCAGCAGUGGGGAAUUUUCCGCAAUGGGCGCAAGCCUGACGGAGCAAUAC